This 2897-nucleotide long non-coding RNA is filed under the name Homo sapiens (human). RNAcentral's name for it is "non-protein coding lnc-CRYAA-17:1". The record is from RNAcentral. Lineage: Eukaryota; Metazoa; Chordata; Mammalia; Primates; Hominidae.
CCAACAUGGCUUGUGGGGCUCCCCAGAGGUCAGGGAGAGGCAGAUACUCUGAAGCUCCUGGUGGGGACGGUGGCCCCAUGAAGCCACAGGUUCUGCCUGCCAGGCCAGCCCCUGCUCGUCUCCCUGUUCCCGGCGGAUGGUGGCCCCUUGGCUGUGGUCAUUGGCGGUGUGGCCCGAGUGGCACUUGAAGCAUGGCAGGAAUUCAGGCCAGGGUGCCCACAGGCUGUGAGGCAGGCGCCGUGCCUGCCCCAGGGGUGUGAAGGUGGCACAUGGGGGCCAUGUGCCAUGUGUGGUGGCACAUGGGGUCAUGCAGGGCAGCCUCUGCAGGGGGUGAGCGGCAUGUGGGCCGUGUCCUAUUUCCUCUGGGUCCCUUUAUACCUGGGCUUCUUAACAGCAGCUAGUGGGAGCUACAGCUGCUGGCCUCCGUCAGCCUCCCAGGGACUGUCUCAUCUUUCAGAAGAUCCUCGCCAGGGCGGCUCACCGCCACACGGACACACGGAACGAGUCUUCUGAGAGCCACAUGGGAGCUGGGCUGCAUAAUGGGAGGCCUGGGGCGCCCUUUAGACCCCACCAGACUGGAGCCACCAUGGAGAUCUCAGCUGCCCUGGUGAGCGCCACCCAGACACGAGCACACACACGUGUGCAAAAUGUGUGCACACAUGUACACAGCACAUAUGUGUGUAUGCAAUGCAAGCCUGGCUCCAGCCACCUUUAUCCGAUACGUGAGGCAGACAGUCACGGGACACGGUGGACAUGACGCUCUGCUGUGCAGAGAAACCGCUCUGUGUGCACAGCCCAAGUUCACUGGGCGGUCACAGCUGGGUAAGGAUGGGGAACACAGCAGCCUGUGACCUCUCAGCCACUGCAGAGGCCACCUGUGUGGGUGGCCUUCAGAGGGCAGAACCCUCCCUGGGGACGCACCUGCCUCAGGCGCGGCCUGUGCAUUCCUGCCUGGAGACAGGAGCUACCAGUCCCCGGCGCUGUUUACCUUCCGUCUGGCGGCCCAGCAGAGAGCCACCGCCCUCCCCUCUCCUGGCCUAUAUAUAAGGCCUUGUCCUGGCUUUGCCCUGGGCGGGGACGCUGCUGUACUGUGCUGACCCUCUGCUCCCAGAAACCCAGGGCCACUGGCAGCUUCAGGGACAACCCUGCCUCUGAAUUGGGGCCACGGACACCCAGGUUACUCACAAAAUAGGUGCCCUUUUCCAUGCAGAUAGCUGAAGUGCAGACCCAGAGCUCGUGGGAUUGCUGGUGGAAACUUCCAGAAGCAUGCAGCAGGAUUGCCAUGGGGUUAGGAAGCCAAACAAUCAGCAGACAGGCAGGUGCAUCUCGGUAGGACCCCGCUCUGGGGAGGUCCCUGAACUGCAUCUCCUGCUGGGGUCAGGACCAGCCUGCUUCCCAGAGCGCCCCGUGUGCUCCCAUAGCAGGGCCGGGCUGGCACUCCUGGGCAGGACCGGCACUCCUGGGCCAGGCUGGCACUCCUGGGCCGGGCUGGUGUCAGCGGGCCCCAAAGACAGGCCCCAGGCCUGGGUGAACUCAGGGGCUCCAGCUGCAGCUCACCAGCCCAGGAAGUGGUUGCUGGGGGUCCUUAAGAGGCUCCAUUCUCCCGGUGGGCUCCCCUGCAUCCCCUCCGGCUGCCUCCCCCGCUGCACUAGCCUUUGCAGGUGUGUGUGUUUACCUUUAAUAACUUAACCCUUUGGCCCAGUCUCCAUCUGCCGACGCACAGCAGGCUGGCGGUCGUGCUCCCCACGUGGCAGGGCUGGUGGCCAUCACCAGCAAGUGUGGGCAGGGCUGGAGGGGGGACCAAGCAAGGGCUUCUGCCCUCAGGCACAGCAAAAGCCAGAGAGGCGGAAGGACCCCUGCCCCCACCCCACCCGCUGGGGAAGGUGAUGGUCAGGAGGGGGCUGAUCGAGGGUUGCUCAGUCACCCCAAGAUGAGGAGCAGUCGCUGGCACAGCCGCCUCGGCCCUCCUUCUCUCUUGGCAGGUAAAUAGAGGCCCAGGUGGCACCCAGACCAAGGCAGACGCCUCUGCUCAUUUUGGCCGAGCAAGGCCAAAGGCAGCCAAGGGUUGGUUUCCCUGCCCGCCCCCAGUCGAGAGUCAACAUCCCACACACGCCAAACUGCCCUUUAGUUCCUAAGACGUAAAUAUUUGCUCUUCCGUUAAGAAAAUACUCAGCGGUCCUCCUUUAAGUGCAGUGUAUACCCCGGCGCCCUUCAAAAGCAAACACUGCUGUUUCCAAACAAGGAGUGCAAGGAGAAAGCCUGCGUGGGGGCUCCUGGGGGUGCACACCGACGCUGCGGGCUCUGCCCCGACCUGCCUGAAUGUUCUCCAAGCCCAGGGCACCCAGGAAGGAAGCCGAGUUUGGCGAGAGGGAGACUGGCAGGAGCCCAGGGCCCUGAGACCGAGGCUGGGAGGAAGAUCGGGCUGCUCUCCGCCACUUGGUGUUGCACGGCCGCCCCCAGGCCCCACCCGGGGGCGGCAGGCAGGGGCUUCUGCUGGGAGUGAGCCAGUCUCCAGGCCCCCAGCCCCCACCCGACCUUGCCAGAGCAGCAGUCAGAGGGCAGAGAAAGGCAGGGACCUUCAGUUGCACAGGAAGGUCUGCAUCUGGGUCCGUUCUGCUUCUCACUGCACAUGUGGCCUUGCGCAGCCUGUCCGCCUCUCGAGAUCUCAAUAUUCUCACUUUAAACUAAGGGAACACAGCUUCCUUGCACCGCCGCUGACCUCCCUGGGCUGGACCUAAGCUGUGGCUGGUGGCUGGGGGCCCCAGCUUAUGGACUGGGGCGUUUCGUCCCAACAGUGUCUCGUGACUUCACGUCGGUAGGUUGGAAUCGGCCAUGCUGGGAGUGUUUGCACCACGGGAACUGGUGAAUGCUGUGCGUCAAAGCCAGGUCACCGCCCA